GGGCGAAGAGGGUAGGGGCGAGCUUUCUUUUUCGUUUUUUUUAUUCUCUAGGUGAUGGGUGCUUGCGUGCAGGGUGUGGGUGGGCAGGAGGAGUAGAGGGCGUGGGAAGCGAGGGCUAGGGCAGAGGGAGGAGUAGAGGGCGUGGGGUGGGGCAGCGAGGUCUACGGCGAAGAGAGAGGCUAGGGCUCUUUUUUGAAGAGGCCACACGUCCACGACGAGCUAAAACCAACAAGGCAUACGACCGGCGGCCCUUGUCGCGGCAGCCGCUGCGGCAGUCCCGCCCCAAGAUCCACGUUGCCUUCCGGCUGCGGUACACCACGCCGCUCACGGUCCGGAGGCCUCCCGCGAUGCCCAUACUGUGACCCCGCAGUCUACUAGUGUGUACGAAGACGAAGCCACCAGUCCGAUCGCCCAGCACAAGAUGAAGAAGCAGUCCAAGUAAAUGGGUUAUCAACUAGACUCUCCAUUAACCAACCGGUCACUACAAACUAACUAGAUUCGUUGGAACUCUACACGCUACCCGCUUGCACUCGCCGCCGGUUGCCGUCUGUACCUGAGUUCGGUUGUGUCCAUGUACCGCCUCGUUGAGUGGACGACCAGAGGUGAAGCGUCCGCCGUUCGUCCGUGUCGACGGUGGUUCCAGUUCGUCAAGGACACUUUACUGAAACCCUUACCCACUAAGUGACCCCAUUAAUCGCCAUGGUGGUGUACGACUGUACCUCACAUGUUCCAUACACAAAAGUCGAACAAUUAGUCCUACUUCACCUUAUGUAGUAUUUAUAAGAAACGUACUGGCUAGUCCCUGUAUAGUUGUGCAGGUGAAUUAGGUCAAUUAAGUACAAGUCAAGGAAUCAAACGGAUGGUAACAGGCCUAAAUGGUACAUAAUAAACUGGCCUUUUUACGUAACAAUUAGCGAAGCUGCUUGUUCACUUAUACAUCCGACAUAGGGAGAAAUCAAAAAAUUGUCAGACAAGUGACUGAGUGAUGAAGUAGUAUCUAAUUCCAGUUCUUAAACGGUACAUAACAGGGAAGAAUUUAUACGACGUGAACGAAAGAAGACAGUCGUAAAAUCUUUAUAUUUAAAGGAGUCAACUAAAGAAUAGGGCAAUGGGGGUACAUGCAUAACCAACAACUCGUAGCAAGUGACAAUGUUUCUAUCCAGUCAUCAGUCAUUCUAUUGAUUGUAAAAUUAUAUUCCACCAUAACAAGGUUAAAUGACCGCCACGUAAAAGCGGGAGUUACAACAACAAGAACAUAGUAAAGACUUCAAGACUAAUUCUGAUUACUAGACAAGUGUGUUCAGAAUUCUUUCCUCACACUUUAAUUAAACAAUCGUUUCUUAGAUCUCAAUCUGAAUGAGCUACCAACUAGUCAGUUCACUUCAUUACUAGACCUACACAACCGUUUUAAAGAAACGUUCACGUACCUCUUCGAUUCCUUAUACAGUCGGUGAAAGCCUAUAACACUACAAUAAUGAUAUAUAAUUUACACGAUCUAGAGUUAAGUGUAUAGUAUUUGACAGUUUAAAACUAAUACUAUAAAACAAAGAGUUUUUUAAUCUCAGUCCAUACUACUGAAGUAUUAUGACUCUGAAUUUGAGUCGAUGGUUCAUAAUUAUUUAAUUACAACGUAGAUGAUUAUCGGAUUUAAUUACAAAGUACAAUGUAUAAGUAUGUUUCAAAUGCACAUUAAUAGUACACACAAGAGUAAACAGGUAAAAAUUUAUCAAAAUCCCUUAUUUAUUUAUGAUUAAACUUUACUUAUUCUAAUUAAAUUGAUUCUGGUUCACAUCAAACUAAGAGGAAAAUCGAAGAUUGUCUCGUUCCUUAAUCAAAAGACAAAUUAUCGUCUUAUUAGUCUGAACAUAGUGAAAUGAGUGAACGAUAAACAAAAUCACCAUUCGUUCAAUGAACCCAAAGAUUGGCUCGACUGUACGACGAAGGAAUACAUUACGUUAGAUGAAUAUUUCUUCCACUAAACAAUUGGGGAAAGGCAGCAUCUGUAUCAUACAACUUAACCAUAAGGGUCAGAUAGUACAAUUAAUCUUUUGGAAUACGGAUUUUUACGAAAUUUUACAGUAGUAAACAAAAAAGAGUCGGUAAAAAAAUAGUAAUGUAGCAACAGUACCGUACGAGUUUUUUUAAUGGUCACACUGAACGGAAUAGGUCGGUAACAGACCUGAGUGACGAAUCAAACCAACGAUUAAAUCAAUCAUGGCCGAACAUAACAUCAAGAGAAAUCAGGCUCGUUACCGACCUUGAUUAAAAGUGUCGAGUUUUCAUCAGGGUCGGUGGCGAGGUACCUUCUUGAUUGUGACGACGAAAGACAAACCAUAUUAAAAAAACCAAACAAUCAGAAAUAUACUCCAAAUUGAUAACAUCGAUUCUCUCUUUGCGCUCUUUCUUCGGUAAUGUUAGUGAACAAUAUAACCCUUUUGUAGUUUUCGAGCACUACAAACAUAAGUGCUUUGUUUUACUAAUAGACCGUUUAUAUAAAAGAAUACAGCAUCGUUGCGUGUACAUAGAUCGAAAAAAUAAGUUGUACUUGCUCUUUAUGUGAAGGUUCCUCCUUUACAACUGUAAAAAAACUGAACCAAAAGGAACUAAAGAAUGUUAAAGAGAAAGGUAAAAGAACUCAAACACGUCCAAAUAGGGUACAAUCGACAACAUUCACAAGACUAGACUUAGGAUCCCCAACAACUUCAUCUAUCUUAUUGGUAUAUACAGGAUGAUGUACUUCGUAAAAAGACAAACUAUUCGAUACCACACGACGUAAUGGUGUAGAGUAUACAUUUAAUUAAGACUAUAUGGGCUUCAGGGGAUGGUACCUCUUCCUAUACGACGAUUCUCUACGUCAACCAUCAAUAUGAUAGAUAAUUUUAUGGUCAAACACCGAAGUACGUUCAUAUACGCGAUUUCGAGAAGUUAUAAAAAAAGACAACUCUAUUUAGUGGAUCGUACGUAAAGAGGUAAUACAACUAAAGGAAUAAAAAGUACUAUACGACGUGUUUCGAUCCUCUGUUGUAAGAACAUUGGCUACCACAUAACCAAUACGACCAAUUAAACGGUUGUUAAGAUCUUAAAGGAGAGUUUGUUACUUAAAAACUUAAUCGUCAGCGAAACUUACAAUUCGAUGGC
Molecule: ribosomal RNA, 3138 nt
Filed under: Triticum aestivum (bread wheat)
Lineage: Eukaryota; Viridiplantae; Streptophyta; Magnoliopsida; Poales; Poaceae
Description: partial small subunit ribosomal RNA
Source: RNAcentral